This 774-nucleotide ribosomal RNA is filed under the name uncultured Neocallimastigales. Its description in RNAcentral is "partial large subunit ribosomal RNA". It matches the Rfam family "Eukaryotic large subunit ribosomal RNA", at positions 22 to 635 of the family's 3401-position model. The record is from RNAcentral. Lineage: Eukaryota; Fungi; Neocallimastigomycota; Neocallimastigomycetes; Neocallimastigales.
UAGAUGCGAGAGUAGAGCAUAUCAAUAAGCGGAGGAAAAGAAACUAACAAGGAUUCCCUUAGUAACGGCGAGUGAAGCGGGAAGAGCUCAAAUUUGAAAUCUUCAAGGUUUUACCUUGACGAAUUGUAGUUUAAAGAAGUGUUUUCUGUUGAAGUUUUGGUAAAAGUUCUUUGGAAUAGGACAUCAUAGAGGGUGAGAAUCCCGUAUUUGACCAUUAUUUUCAGCUGUGUGAUACACUUUCAAAGAGUCGGAUUGUUUGGGAAUGCGGUCCAAAAUGGGUGGUAAAUUUCAUCUAAAGCUAAAUAUUGGCGAGAGACCGAUAGCGAACAAGUACCGUGAGGGAAAGAUGAAAAGAACUUUGAAAAGAGAGUUAAACAGUACGUGAAAUUGUCAAAAGGGAAGCGUUUGACACCAGUGUUGGUUUCUCGAAAAUCGAUUAAAAAAGGCGUGAUUCUGUGUUGUAUUGACCUUAAAAGCUUUCUUCACUCUUUUCAUGUCUUUUUUAAUGCACUUUUCGUUUAACAAGUCAACAUCAGUUCCUUUUGUUGUAAAAAGGUCAUUGGAAGGUGGCUUUCUUUUCAGAGAAAGUGUUUAUAGCCUUUGACUUCUGCAAUCGGAGAGACUGAGGUCUGCAGCGUAGAUCCUUCGGGGCUAGAUACGUAGAUGCUAAGUUAUAGUUUUUUAUAGACAACUUGUUGACUAUAAUUAAUCAUGUAGCUUACUCGUUUGCGCUAUUUUACCUACGCUUAGGAUGUUGAAGAUGUAGCACAUCAU